RNAcentral lists this long non-coding RNA (480 nucleotides) under Monodelphis domestica (gray short-tailed opossum). RNAcentral's name for it is "lncRNA (ENSMODG00000032962.2)". The record is from RNAcentral. Lineage: Eukaryota; Metazoa; Chordata; Mammalia; Didelphimorphia; Didelphidae.
CUGGCUUUGGAGGCUUUUGUGGAUUUGGAGGGCUAGAGCAUGGAGGCCUGAGACUUCUUCCUUUAGUUGAACACAUGAAUAUGAGUAAACGGACUUCCGGGUAAUCAUGGCUGCAAUCUAGACUCCACACGCUUCCUCUCCCCGGCACCAAACGAAAUACACUACAUCAAAGGAGCAUAAAAAUCACCUUUGGAGGAACAGAAGUACUCCCCAGUACUCCCCAGUACCCCACAGAGGCGAAGGAUUGCAUGGGAAUGGAAAAAUCUGGGACAAUAUGAGGAAUGCUAGAAUAGGUAUGUUUAAAUUAGUAGUAGUGUUGGGUAUAUAGAAGAAUUUAAGAUAAAGAAAACACUCAAUAUAUACUGGGUAGAAUUAUUUUAGUAAGGCUUUCAAUAUCUUAAUCUUUGAUGCACAUUGUUGUAUACAUAUUCUUUCCCUAAGGAAAAUAAAUUUUGAGAAGGGAUUCUUAAACUUUUUUGU